RNAcentral lists this ribosomal RNA (301 nucleotides) under uncultured bacterium. RNAcentral describes it as "partial 16S ribosomal RNA". It matches the Rfam family "Bacterial small subunit ribosomal RNA", at positions 509 to 808 of the family's 1533-position model. The record is from RNAcentral.
CAGCAGCCACGGGAAUACGUAGGUGGCAAGCGUUGUCCGGAAUUAUUGGGCGUAAAGGGCUCGCAGGCGGUUUCUUAAGUCUGAUGUGAAAGCCCCCGGCUCAACCGGGGAGGGUCAUUGGAAACUGGGAAACUUGAGUGCAGAAGAGGAGAGUGGAAUUCCACGUGUAGCGGUGAAAUGCGUAGAGAUGUGGAGGAACACCAGUGGCGAAGGCGACUCUCUGGUCUGUAACUGACGCUGAGGAGCGAAAGCGUGGGGAGCGAACAGGAUUAGAUACCCCGGUAGUCCUGUCUCUUAUACC